RNAcentral lists this unclassified non-coding RNA (388 nucleotides) under soil metagenome. Its description in RNAcentral is "partial contains 5.8S ribosomal RNA, internal transcribed spacer 2, and large subunit ribosomal RNA". The stretch from base 1 to 120 matches the Rfam family "5.8S ribosomal RNA", at positions 35 to 154 of the family's 154-position model. The record is from RNAcentral.
GAUGAAGAACGUAGCGAAAUGCGAUAAGUAAUGUGAAUUGCAGAAUUCACUGAAUCAUCGAAUCUUUGAACGCACCUUGCGCUCCUUGGUAUUCCGAGGAGCAUGCCUGUUUGAGUGUCAUUAAAUUCUCAACCUCACCAGUUUUGUAACGAGACAGGUGAAGGCUUGGAUGUGGGGGUUUUGCAGGCUGCCUCAGUGCUGGUCUGCUCUCCUGAAAUGCAUUAGCGAGCUCAUAUUGAGCUUCCGUCUAUUGGUGUGAUAAUUAUCUACGCCGUGGAUUGGACUCAUGCUUGCUUCUAGCCGUCCGCAAGGACAAUUUACUUGACCAAUUUGACCUCAAAUCAGGUAGGACUACCCGCUGAACUUAAGCAUAUCAAUAAGCGGAGGA